GCUUCCCUCUUUCUUCGUGCCUAAUACAUGCAAGUCGAGCGAACAGACGAGGAGCUUGCUCCUCUGACGUUAGCGGCGGACGGGUGAGUAACACGUGGAUAACCUACCUAUAAGACUGGGAUAACUUCGGGAAACCGGAGCUAAUACCGGAUAAUAUAUUGAACCGCAUGGUUCAAUAGCGAAAGACGGUUUUGCUGUCACUUAUAGAUGGAUCCGCGCCGCAUUAGCUAGUUGGUAAGGUAACGGCUUACCAAGGCAACGAUGCGUAGCCGACCUGAGAGGGUGAUCGGCCACACUGGAACUGAGACACGGUCCAGACUCCUACGGGAGGCAGCAGUAGGGAAUCUUCCGCAAUGGGCGAAAGCCUGACGGAGCAACGCCGCGUGAGUGAUGAAGGUCUUCGGAUCGUAAAACUCUGUUAUUAGGGAAGAACAAAUGUGUAAGUAACUAUGCACGUCUUGACGGUACCUAAUCAGAAAGCCACGGCUAACUACGUG
This 497-nucleotide ribosomal RNA is filed under the name uncultured bacterium. RNAcentral describes it as "partial 16S ribosomal RNA". It matches the Rfam family "Bacterial small subunit ribosomal RNA", at positions 36 to 507 of the family's 1533-position model. The record is from RNAcentral.